Molecule: long non-coding RNA, 2507 nt
Organism: Mus musculus (house mouse)
Lineage: Eukaryota; Metazoa; Chordata; Mammalia; Rodentia; Muridae
Product: predicted gene, 38767
Exons: 4
Source: RefSeq, a predicted model, not a curated record
UUUUUUUUUUUUUCCUUUUUUUUUAGUGGAUGAAAACUAACAUGCAAUUAUUUCUAAAUUUAAAAGGGGAAUUUAUACAGUACAAUAUUGUUUAUCAUAACUACUUUAAGUACAUUACUUGGAAUUUUGUAUGUGGUAUUUGUCUCCAACACAAUCUGUAUUUGAAGAUAUGUCAGAUUUGUCUCUUUACGGAAUCAUGCAGUUUUAGAAUUUACAUCUGCCAUGGCUGAAGGCUAUAAAGGGUUGUCUCUUUAACAACAACAACAACAACAACAACAGCAGCAGCAGCAACAACAAACUUUCAGCAAAAUAUUCAAGUAGUAGUUGCAAUCUAGCUCCUACUUUCAAAUUUUAUUAUAAAACAGAUUAUAUUUAUUAAAUCUGUGAGAUAAGUAGUAAGGGAUACCAGUUCCAUGCUGUAUGCCUAUGGGCUAAGUCUUUAGAACCGCACCUUUUGGAAGAGUCUGGUAACAGAAACAUAAUUAUUUUGAUCCUCUAUUGACUGCAGUGCAUAUAUUAACAUGCAUAUUCUCUGGUGAAUGGCAGCAUAAUGUAGAGAAAGAGGACUCUGGAGAACUAUAUGCAGUUCACUGUUUCCAUAGCAACUUGAGCAUACACUGAGAAGAUCUGUUUCCAUGACUAUCCUCUUGAACAGUGUAAUGGACUGAGUAAAAUAAAGUAACUGAUUGUUAAGUUCUCAUUGUUCGAUUUUAACUGACUUUAGAGUGGCAUGGACAGGUUAUCAACAUAGUGUAUUAAAUUAACCUCACCUCUGUUACUUAAUACCAGUGUGGUUGUUUAAAAAAGUCACAUUUCUAUAUAUUUCCUAUAAAAAUUCUGGUAUGCUAUGAUGUGCAAAGAAGCAACUACUCUUGUUUCGGUAACCUGGCUGACAUCUGAAACAGAUAUUUCUAAGACAGGGUUCAGAAGCAGAACUGUUUCUAUUCUGGAAAAUUACUUUAUUCUAACUGGAAUUUAGUAUGCAAUUGUAAAUGCAAGUAAUCAGCCACUGCAGUAUUAGCAGUAAUUAUGAUGUUGGUGAACAAUAUAAGUCAGAGAUGUUUUUAUAUUAUUUACAUUGAUUGUUAUUGCAAACUGCAAUGUUUAUCAGAUCAUCACAGUCCUUGCUAUUUAUAAGGAAAAGGAGUUUUGCUUUGUCACGUCUAUGUUUUAAAAUAUUUCAAAAUUGUAACUCAGCCAGCUUUCAUUCUAAUCUUACCUGAUUUGCCUGAUACGUUUAAAAACCUCAUUUUACUAGGUUAUCCUUUCAACCUAAGACUAGAUCUAAGCUUUAGUGUAGGGCUGGAGAUAGGAAUGGUUUCAAGGUUCAUGAUCUUGCACUUGCAUCAAAGAUAAUCGGGAAGAAACAUCAGACUCUAAUUCUUCAGAGGCAUUUGCAUGUGUUAGGGUGAGAAAGUGAUGCGAGUUUGCCGUUCAGUUAUUUAAAUAUAUAAGCUGCUGAAUACACAGUAAUAGAAUAAUCUAAACAGGAAAGUAAACAGCAUAGGAGGAACUCCUUGAAAUUCAGCAUAUGUAAAAGUGUAGUUUCAGAAAAUGAAGAGAUGACAGUUGGAAUUAUAUGUGAAGAUUUAAUAACAGGUGUCUUUAAAAAUCCAUUCAACAGGAAUACAAAACACAAAAAACAUCAGGAACCUUACACAAGAGAGAGAGAAGAAGAAGAAAAGGAGGAGGGGCAAUGCAAAAAGACAAUUAGAAAGUCAGACAAAAUAGUGAAAGGAUAAAGACAGCAUCUUGAAGAAAUCAGGACACAAAGUAAAUGUUACUGAUGAUGUCUCAGAAGAUGCACAAGUCCAGUGAGUGCCUCCCAUGGGAAACUGCCAGUCUAUAAUCCUGCAUCCAGAAAACAUACCAUUUAAAAUUUACAAUGAAUCUAUCACGUAAGGAAGUGAGAGUGGGAACUCAAACAGCGUAAGAACCAAGAAGCAGGACCUGAUGAACAGAGACCAAAAGAAGAUUAGGGAUCUCCUGGAGUUGAAGUAUUAGGCAGUUGUGAGUCAUCCAGCAUUGUUCCUGGGAACUAAAGUGUUGAAGAGAUGGCUCCGAGGUUAAGAGCACUGACUGUUUUUUCAGAGGUCCUGAGUUCAAUCCCCAGCAACUACAUAUGACUCACAACCAUCUGCAAUGAGAUUGGAUACUCUCUUCUGGUAUGUCUGAAGACAGCAACAGUGUACUCAUAUACUUGAAUAAAUGAAUAAAAUCUAUUAAAAAUUCAAAUAUAAACAUUUCCUACUAUAAAUUGAAUGUUAUUACUGCUAUCACUACAUUUAGAGUAUUGUUUUACUUUUAUUUUCUUGCAAAUAUUUUCUCUUUGAUGAAUAGUUAGGAAACAUGUCACUAACUCUAAACUUGGGGCUUGGAAUUGUUCAUAUAUUCUUCUGUUAUUCAUUUGUAGUUCCAUUUUAUUACAGACUAACAUAGACUCAACAUGCUUUCUUUUCUUUUUUUUUAUUUAAACAAUUUUAAUUAGAUAUUUUCUUCAUUUACAA